GACGAACGCUGGCGGCGUGCUUAACACAUGCAAGUCGAACGGAAAGGCCCUGCUUUUGUGGGGUGCUCGAGUGGCGAACGGGUGAGUAACACGUGAGUAACCUGCCCUUGACUUUGUGAUAACUUCAGGAAACUGGGGCUAAUACCGGAUAGGAGCUCCUGCUGCAUGGUGGGGGUUGGAAAGUUUCGGCGGUGGGGGAUGGACUCGCGGCUUAUCAGCUUGUUGGGGGGGUAGUGGCUUACCAAGGCUUUGACGGGUAGCCGGCCUGAGAGGGUGACCGGCCACAUUGGGACUGAGAUACGGCCCAGACUCCUACGGGAGGCAGCAGUGGGGAAUAUUGCACAAUGGGCGGAAGCCUGAUGCAGCAACGCCGCGUGCGGGAUGACGGCCUUCGGGUUGUAAACCGCUUUCGCCUGUGACGAAGCGUGAGUGACGGUAAUGGGUAAAGAAGCACCGGCUAACUACGUG
Molecule: ribosomal RNA, 468 nt
Filed under: uncultured bacterium
Lineage: Bacteria
Description: partial 16S ribosomal RNA
Rfam family: Bacterial small subunit ribosomal RNA
Source: RNAcentral